GGGUUUGUAGCUCAGUGGUAGAGCACUCGCCUACCACGUGUGAGGCCCUGCGUUCGAUCCUCAGCACCA
This is a non-coding RNA of Ictidomys tridecemlineatus (thirteen-lined ground squirrel), 69 nucleotides long. The record is from Rfam. NCBI's taxonomy places the organism in Eukaryota, Metazoa, Chordata, Mammalia, Rodentia, Sciuridae.